GUGCUGCCGACCGCUCCGCAGCCCGCGGUGCAGCUGGCACUGACACGAUGCUAAAAAGGAAGAGAUCUUCGGAUAAAUUCCCGUUGACAUUGUCAGCUCUGAGACGAGUCAACAGCAAGUAAUAAGGAGCCUCAGGAUCCUCCAGAGCCAAAAGAUGAUGAUGUCCUGUGCUGUUCCUACCAGCUGGCUGAGGAGAUGCACAAUUGUGCAUUUUGAUAUUCAAGAUAAUCUGGGUUGCUCCAGCCUUGGGCCCUGCAUUGACAGGUCUGUGCUGUAUCAUCCCGCAGAAAAAAUAUACCUAUAUUCACAGAAUAAUGCCUUUCACAGUCUCUUUCUCAAGCAAACAUGCCAUAAAAGUAUUUGUGAGACUGGGUCUGUUGACAGUGAUGUUCAAAAAGUCAUUUUGUGAUGUAUUUUGUGAUACAUGGGUAAAACCUGACAAGAGAAAGGGCUUGUAAAAUCAUGGCUCAGGCCUUGCUGCUGUGGCUGGGUACAGCUAACAGCCAGCAUGAUAAGCUUCUGUGAGAAAGGAAUUGAACAGUGAGAAUCAGCUUGGAUAUCAGUCUAUUCCUGUGGGAACCAAUUUGCACCUGUGAGAAGAAAGAAAGAUUCUACCCGUGUGAAGGAGACAAGAGUGUAAACAUCUCUGGAGAGGAGAGUUUUUGAUGGACACAUACAAUAGCCAUUACUAAUCAAUGAACUGAAUUGCCAUAAGUUACUAACCAACUAGAAUUAAACGUGAUGCCUUAGAAAACCAUUAAAAUAUGAGCUGUG
Long non-coding RNA from Melospiza melodia melodia, 774 nucleotides. RefSeq lists it as uncharacterized. NCBI's taxonomy places the organism in Eukaryota, Metazoa, Chordata, Aves, Passeriformes, Passerellidae. The transcript is spliced from 4 exons. The record is from RefSeq and is a predicted model, not a curated record.